RNAcentral lists this ribosomal RNA (502 nucleotides) under uncultured Lachnospiraceae bacterium. RNAcentral's name for it is "bacterial SSU rRNA". It matches the Rfam family "Bacterial small subunit ribosomal RNA", at positions 8 to 507 of the family's 1533-position model. Lineage: Bacteria; Bacillati; Bacillota; Clostridia; Lachnospirales; Lachnospiraceae. The record is from RNAcentral.
AGAGUUUGAUCCUGGCUCAGGAUGAACGCUGGCGGCGUGCUUAACACAUGCAAGUCGAGCGAAGCACUGUAAUUGGAAGCCUACGGGAAGAAGAAUAUAGUGACUGAGCGGCGGACGGGUGAGUAACGCGUGGGCAACCUGCCUUGCACAGGGGGAUAACAGUUAGAAAUGACUGCUAAUACCGCAUAAGACCACAGCCCCGCAUGGGGCGGAGGUAAAAACCGAGGUGGUGCAAGAUGGGCCCGCGUCUGAUUAGGGCAGUUGGUGGGGUAACGGCCCACCAAACCGACGAUCAGUAGCCGACCUGAGAGGGCGACCGGCCACAUUGGGACUGAGACACGGCCCAAACUCCUACGGGAGGCAGCAGUGGGGAAUACUGCACAAUGGGGGAAACCCUGAUGCAGCGACGCCGCGUGAGUGAGGAAGUAUUUCGGUAUGUAAAGCUCUAUCAGCAGGGAAGAAAAUGACGGUACCUGACUAAGAAGCCCCGGCUAACUACGUG